AGCGGGGUAGAGUAAUGGUAUCUCGGAAGGCUCAUAACCUUUAGACCCAGGUUCGAAUCCUGGUCCCGCAA
This 71-nucleotide transfer RNA is filed under the name Minisyncoccota bacterium. Its description in RNAcentral is "tRNA-Met". It matches the Rfam family "tRNA". Rfam says of the family: Transfer RNA (tRNA) molecules are approximately 80 nucleotides in length. Their secondary structure includes four short double-helical elements and three loops (D, anti-codon, and T loops). Lineage: Bacteria; Bacillati; Minisyncoccota. The record is from RNAcentral.